CUGCACAAUUGGGAAUUAGCAGCAUUAGUAUUUCCAAAUUCUUAAAUUUGUUUUUGUUUGUUUUUGAAAAAUUACUCCAUGGGCCUUCAAUCACGAUGGAGAGUGUGGUACAAACCAAGAGAAGGGACAAAGGAAAGUUAAGAUGGCAGAGAGAGGACAGCAGUCGCAUGAAGAAGAACCAAAGGAAAAAGACAGGAUGGACAGACAGUUCAAACAUGAGACAUUCUGUAUGGAAUCCAGGAAUCAAAGACGGAGGAUUUCCUGGCGAUACCUUGAACAGACUUAUACUUUCAACAGAUCAGGACAUCACAAACCCUUUUCUGAUGAUACAUCACGUCACUGACUGGACACAGACAACUGAGUGUGUGAGUACCAGCAACAUGUUCAAGAAGGAUUUCUACAACUACACUGGUUGAAUCUGUUCCAAAUUUUCUUGACCACUCACAUGGCAGAACGAUGCCAGGGUCAGAUCACUUGGCUUCACAUCCCAUUUCCAGAUGAAUCAUCGACAGCAAGAUGAGAGGAGAGUCCUGAAGGACUCCACGUACUGCAGAUCAGAGUACCACAGGGCAGUUGACUGGAUAGGUCACAUGGUCCCAUCACAGUAGAAGACACUGUUGUGGUGUAAAUCUUGAAUUAGUGAAGUUUUGGAAACUCACUACUCCACUACACACCUACACUGACUUGUUAGAACAACCAG
This is a long non-coding RNA of Esox lucius (northern pike), 700 nucleotides long. Lineage: Eukaryota; Metazoa; Chordata; Actinopteri; Esociformes; Esocidae. The record is from Ensembl.